GACGAACGCUGGCGGCGUGCUUAACACAUGCAAGUCGAACGGAAAGGCCCUGCUUUUGUGGGGUGCUCGAGUGGCGAACGGGUGAGUAACACGUGAGUAACCUGCCCUUGACUUUGGGAUAACUUCAGGAAACUGGGGCUAAUACCGGAUAGGAGCUCCUGCUGCAUGGUGGGGGUUGGAAAGUUUCGGCGGUUGGGGAUGGACUCGCGGCUUAUCAGCUUGUUGGUGGGGUAGUGGCUUACCAAGGCUUUGACGGGUAGCCGGCCUGAGAGGGUGACCGGCCACAUUGGGACUGAGAUACGGCCCAGACUCCUACGGGAGGCAGCAGUGGGGAAUAUUGCACAUUGGGCGGAAGCCUGAUGCAGCAACGCCGCGUGCGGGAUGACGGCCUUCGGGUUGUAAACCGCUUUCGCCUGUGACGAAGCGUGAGUGACGGUAAUGGGUAAAGAAGCACCGGCUAACUACGUG
This 468-nucleotide ribosomal RNA is filed under the name uncultured bacterium. Its description in RNAcentral is "partial 16S ribosomal RNA". It matches the Rfam family "Bacterial small subunit ribosomal RNA", at positions 28 to 507 of the family's 1533-position model. The record is from RNAcentral.